UACGAAGGGGGCUAGCGUUGCUCGGAAUGACUGGGCGUAAAGGGCGCGUAGGCGGAUGGCACAGUCAGAUGUGAAAUUCCCGGGCUUAACCUGGGGGCUGCAUUUGAUACGUGUGAUCUGGAGUGAGGAAGAGGGUCGUGGAAUUCCCAGUGUAGAGGUGAAAUUCGUAGAUAUUGGGAAGAACACCGGUGGCGAAGGCGGCGACCUGGUCCUUGACUGACGCUGAGGCGCGAAAGCGUGGGGAGCAAACGGG
This 253-nucleotide ribosomal RNA is filed under the name uncultured bacterium. Its description in RNAcentral is "partial 16S ribosomal RNA". It matches the Rfam family "Bacterial small subunit ribosomal RNA", at positions 524 to 776 of the family's 1533-position model. The record is from RNAcentral.